UAUCCUCGCCAUCUUUCACCUCUCCGAACAUUCACAUAAUACACCCCAAAAUACAAUGUAUAUUUUAUGUCCCUUCUAUUCUACGUCUAUUAAUAUUUUACUUGUCACAUCAAUUUUUUAAAAAUUUAUUUAGAUUUUUAUCAAUUCUAGAAUGAGCUAUGUAUAUGAUCUACACUCUUAUUUUUGGGUAUACAAGAAGCAUUUUCCUUCACCUUCGUCUCAAUCACUUGCCCACUUUUUUAAUUGCAGUAAAAUCUUCAGUUCUAAUUAG
This 271-nucleotide long non-coding RNA is filed under the name Ananas comosus (pineapple). Its description in RNAcentral is "long non-coding RNA (ACOM_LNC027583)". The record is from RNAcentral. Lineage: Eukaryota; Viridiplantae; Streptophyta; Magnoliopsida; Poales; Bromeliaceae.